RNAcentral lists this ribosomal RNA (332 nucleotides) under uncultured Pseudomonadota bacterium. RNAcentral describes it as "bacterial SSU rRNA". It matches the Rfam family "Bacterial small subunit ribosomal RNA", at positions 568 to 898 of the family's 1533-position model. Lineage: Bacteria; Pseudomonadati; Pseudomonadota. The record is from RNAcentral.
CGUGUAGGUGGCCAGGCAAGUCGGGUGUGAAAGCCCCGGGCUCAACCCGGGAAGUGCACUCGAAACUGCUUGGCUCGAGUGCCGGAGAGGGAAGCGGAAUUCUCGGUGUAGAGGUGAAAUUCGUAGAUAUCGAGAGGAACACCAGUGGCGAAGGCGGCUUCCUGGACGGCUACUGACGCUGAGACGCGAAAGCGUGGGGAGCAAACAGGAUUAGAUACCCUGGUAGUCCACGCCGUAAACGAUGGGUGCUAGGUGUCGCAGGCUUUGACUCCUGCGGUGCCGUAGCUAACGCAUUAAGCACCCCGCCUGGGGAGUACGGCCGCAAGGCUAAA